GAUGAACGCUAGCUACAGGCUUAACACAUGCAAGUCGAGGGGCAGCAUAUAGAUAGCUUGCUAUUUAUGAUGGCGACCGGCGAAAGGGUGAGUAACGCGUGAGCAACAUGCCCGAUACUGGAGGAUAGUCGAUGGAAACGUCGCGUAAUACUCCGUAACAACAGAGACCGCAUGAUCUUUGUUUAAUAGAUUUAUCGGUAUCGGAUUGGCUCGCGUCCCAUUAGGCAGUUGGCGGGGUAACGGCCCACCAAACCGACGAUGGGUAGGGGUUCUGAGAGGAAGGUCCCCCACAUUGGAACUGAGACACGGUCCAGACUCC
RNAcentral lists this ribosomal RNA (319 nucleotides) under uncultured Bacteroidales bacterium. RNAcentral's name for it is "bacterial SSU rRNA". It matches the Rfam family "Bacterial small subunit ribosomal RNA", at positions 28 to 339 of the family's 1533-position model. The record is from RNAcentral. Lineage: Bacteria; Pseudomonadati; Bacteroidota; Bacteroidia; Bacteroidales.